RNAcentral lists this ribosomal RNA (495 nucleotides) under Triticum aestivum (bread wheat). Its description in RNAcentral is "partial small subunit ribosomal RNA". The record is from RNAcentral. Lineage: Eukaryota; Viridiplantae; Streptophyta; Magnoliopsida; Poales; Poaceae.
AUGCCAGCCUUUCGUUCCUUUUGCGUCUUGUUUCUCUGCUUCUCUGCAACUUUCUCCACCAUGCCCAACUCUGUAUCACCUUCUCCUUCCCAUAAUGACCAUGGCCGCUGCCAUCGGAGACACGUGAGUCACGGCCGGCUGUACAUCGUUGAUUUUGAUGGAAGCCCAGCGAGGAGAAGUUGCAACCAGGGGCGGGAGGGAUGUUGGAACAGGCUCUGCGGAUUGCUACAACCUGGUUGUCGGCGAGCUACAAUCGACUCACCAUCGAGCUGCCAUUGGCACGGGCAGCGGGCUGCAACAGUCUGGGGGCGAAGCUGCAACCAGGGCGAGGGAUGCUGGAACCGGCUCCCACGGAAGCUGGGACCGUGGCUGGCGUGCUGGAACUGGGGCAUGCUCUGGUGCUCGAAUCAGUACUUAACAAUGCUGGAACUAGCAGCAAGUGGCCGUGCUGGAACGCCAUGCACGCGAUGCUUAAAAAGCUCCACGACGAAGUGA